AUUGAACGCUGGCGGCAUGCCUAACACAUGCAAGUCGAGCGAGCGGCGGACGGGUGAGUAAUGUAUGGGGACUGCCCGAUCGACGGGGAUAACUACUGGAACCGUUGGCUAAUACCGCAUACUAUCGGAUAACCCAUAGGGGAUUAGCUAGUAGGGGGGGUAAAGGCUCACCUAGGCGACGAUCUCUAGCUGGUCUGAGAGGAGGAUCAGCCACACUGGUACUGAGAAACGGCCCAGACUCCUACGGAGGCAGCAGUGGGGAAUAUUGCACAAUGGGCGCAAGCCUGAUGCAGCCAUGCCGCGUGUAUGAAGAAGGCCUUAGGGUUGUAAAGUACUUUCAGCGGGGAGGCGUUACCCGCAGAAGAAGCACCGGCUAACUCCGUGCCAGCAGCCGCGGUAAUUC
RNAcentral lists this ribosomal RNA (403 nucleotides) under uncultured bacterium. RNAcentral's name for it is "partial 16S ribosomal RNA". It matches the Rfam family "Bacterial small subunit ribosomal RNA", at positions 30 to 526 of the family's 1533-position model. The record is from RNAcentral.